AAUCCACCUUCUAAAACAUUAAUAUCUACGGAAACCAACUCAAGGAGAAGCAAGUUUGUUCUUCAAUUUGUCGUAUGGUUUUGUUUCUUAAGGCCUGCAAAUAAUUUGUACGGCACUGGUGCAAAUGUUUAGCACGCCGUCGUCCAUGAAAAUCUUGUUGCUGAGGUAAUUUUUGCUCACCAUUCUUAUUCAUGUGCAACUUUUUUACCUCCCUAUUCAUAUCUCUGAUGUGUCUUUGUAUCCUUUCAUUAUUUUGUUCAAUCUUAUUCCAUAUAUUUUGACUUUAUAGUUGCAGGGGUGUUGAUGUUGCAACAACAAAAUAUGUAAUAAUGAGGUUCAACCGACGAUUGAGGAAAAAGGUUGGUGACUAUCUCACGGUGGUGGGAGGGAUUUUGUUAUGGUAUGAUGAUAUCUUUGUAUUGUUAUGUAUUGAUUUUUUGAAGUUUAAAUUUGUUGAAAAUUGAAACGAUGUGUGCUGA
This 479-nucleotide long non-coding RNA is filed under the name Medicago truncatula (barrel medic). RNAcentral's name for it is "long non-coding RNA (MTRU_LNC006342)". The record is from RNAcentral. Lineage: Eukaryota; Viridiplantae; Streptophyta; Magnoliopsida; Fabales; Fabaceae.